CCUACGGGAGGCAGCAGUGAGGAAUAUUGGACAAUGGCCGAGAGGCUGAUCCAGCCAUGCCGCGUGCGGGAAGACGGCCCUAUGGGUUGUAAACCGCUUUUGUUGGGGAGCAAUAAGGUCCACGUGUGGAUCGAUGAGAGUACCCAGCGAAUAAGCAUCGGCUAACUCCGUGCCAGCAGCCGCGGUAAU
This 189-nucleotide ribosomal RNA is filed under the name uncultured bacterium. RNAcentral's name for it is "partial 16S ribosomal RNA". It matches the Rfam family "Bacterial small subunit ribosomal RNA", at positions 338 to 524 of the family's 1533-position model. The record is from RNAcentral.